AAGUAAGGUGCCUGAAAAAAGGACAAUUUUGAUAGAAUUGAUCAUGUGGCCCCCACUCUUGCU
This 63-nucleotide transfer RNA is filed under the name Lamiinae sp. 4 ACP-2013. RNAcentral describes it as "tRNA-Ile". Lineage: Eukaryota; Metazoa; Arthropoda; Insecta; Coleoptera; Cerambycidae. The record is from RNAcentral.